CAGGGUGGCUUCCACACUGCUUUCUGUCCUGGAGGACCUGCCGUGGACAAGGAGACAGGAUCAGGAACCACUGUCCAGAGCUGUGGUGCUCCGAGAGUCUUGGCAGCCCUGCAUGGGUCUCCUUUUCUGAGCUGACACUCCUGAGCCACUGCCAGGGAAGGCCUGGGGUGUGGUCCAGGCCCCCCACCCCUUGGUUCAUCUCUGCCCAAUCUGUAGCCUUUCUGGGAAUGUCACACAUGCAUGGGACUCUGCUGCAAAAGACACAGCAGAUCCUGUCCUACACACACAUGAGCCAGGCGCCAUAAAGCAAAGGAGCAGAGGGACUGGGGAGCGCUUGUUUCCAGCGGUCAUAAAUCUGCUCCGUGGAUGGGCUUCCCUGUCAUCCACUGUGUGCUUCCUGGUUUGUAUUUCCAAGACACUGACAAUCAGUUGGAACACUGCUCUGCAACGUUCUCCAGGUUGGAAUAAGGAAGACAAAGACUUCCCAGAGCUCCUAAGCACCAGAGGGCUUUCGGAUGACAGGAGUCUCCUAUAUCACAAGCAAAAUGGAAGCUUCCAGAGCACUUAGGAGCAGGGGCCUGCCUCUGCAAGGCAGGGUAGAAGCCUGUUUCAGCAAACAUCAGGAGUCCAAGGGGAGAAGGACAAGAGUAAAGGUCAGUUUCCAGCUGCAGAGAAUAAAUCAGCAGUGUUUCUGCACAGGCACACACGGGCAUGUUCAGGCACAACACCCACAGCCCACCCUGACUGUCUUCCUGGGCACAUACGGGUUGUCUGGUCACAACAACCCUUCAAGAUCGGAUGAGAAAAGAAAGAACGGUUCUGUCAUCUCUGCCCGCAGGUCACGCGGCCCCAUCACAGCGACGCUCACACUUGUCCACAAACACAAGCUCGGAGGCUGAAGGCAGAAAACACCAGUGAAAACCCUCUGGGUGCAGUGACCCUGUGGAGUCCAGGACCCCGGAACAUCCCCAGGAAUGAGCUAAACACACUGCUUACAUAACAAUGGGACUGUUCUUCAUAGCUGUGACAUCUUAGCCUCAAAUUAUGCUAAUAGGCUUUUUGAAAAUGCUGUUUUUGUUUUCAAAAUACUUUCUGAUGUGCUCUCUUCCUUUAGUUUCUUAAGGAUCCCAAUAGGUUAAGAAAGAGAAAUGAAUGCCUAGUCCACAGCAGAGACCCAGAGAGCCAAGGGGAAGUUCUAUGGAUCCUCUCUGCAUCCAGGUCCCAUUACCUGGCCCUCCCCUUGCACUGGCGCUCGGGUCCUGAACCCUCGGAGUAGAGACUGGUUCUAGGCCCUGACCUGAGUCACCAGUGCCAAACACCAGAGCCUUCCAGAGCUGGGCUGGGGCCGCAAGGACCAGAGCUUCCUCUGCACCAUCCUCUGCAGGCUGCUUGCUGCCUCCAGCCCAAGUGAGGGGAUCCAUGGGCUCCCCAGGCUCCUAAGUUGGCCAGGACCAGGGAGAAAUGACAUAGGACCCUCCAGAAGCCAUCUUCACCCUUGCUCUGACACCGAGGGUAGGUUUGUGCCCACCCUCUGCUCUGGGUUGCAGCUGUCACUGUCUUAUUUUGGGGAAUGAUUUCCAAGCCCACAGUUCCAACCGGAGCUCACUUCCCAAGCCUUUCCUCAGUGCUCCCCACCUAUGUUCUUGGGAGGCCUCCUCUGAACCCUGUGCUCAGAUGGAUGGAGAGCAGUCAUAACCUGGACGCCACACCAGCAGCCUUCUUCACAGCAUCCCUGGCCCCUGCCUCCGAUGCCUCCUUGCAGCCUGAACCCUCGGCUCCCUCCUAGCCAGCAAGCCCACGUCUGCAGCCUUGUGGCACCCCAAAGGAAGCCUCAAGUUCAGGAAAUAACCAUAAAUGACACAGCUAAAGACUGGCAGAAUGGCUUGACCCUGGUGAGCACUCCAGCUGCAAGACUGCAAGCUUCCCAAGGAGGACAGGGCUGCCAGAGAGGCAGGAGAAGAGCUUUUCAUCCCUCUUGAAGUCAGCUCCUGGCCUGCACCGAGCUGCCCUGGGCACUGGGCGGGGGAACGAAGGAAAGCAAGGCGUGCCAGUGCGCGGGCUGCCGGGCUGCUGCGUCCCAAGACACCUGAGUGCCGAGAGCGUGCGACGUGCUGCUGUCCUAAAUCCUGCCACAGGCAGCAAACAAAAGCAGGAAAAUGGCGGCCCAUCUGGCUGGGGUGUAGCUCAGAGAGAGCAUUUGCCUGGGUGUUUGAGCCUCAGAUUCAAUUCCUAGUGCCACAGCAGGAAAGGGAGGAGAGAAGGAAGGCAGAAAAGAAGGAGGGAAGAGAGAAGGGAGGGAGAAAAGAGGCAAGGAGGAGGAAGGAGGGGAAGACAUGACUACCAAACACCGGUCUCUGUGUGAAUAAUACAGCACGUCACCAGGCCGCUUAAGUCAGGACAGAUAUUCUUUAAGAUAAGCAGAGGAUACGCAUACUGCUCAUUUUAACUUCAUCCAUGAAAUAAUGUAUUUUGUACUCUUUUCUAAUUUCUUUUGGGGGAAAAAGUCUUGUUUCAUCUGCCCUGCUUUGCUCCUGUGCCUGCUUCUGCCGGCCGCCGGAUGUCUGGGUUUCACUUGCUGAUUUAGAUGCUCGGCUGACACAUUCAACCUUUUAAAUAAAUCAUUCAUUUUUUUAAA
Long non-coding RNA from Cavia porcellus (domestic guinea pig), 2635 nucleotides. RefSeq lists it as uncharacterized. Lineage: Eukaryota; Metazoa; Chordata; Mammalia; Rodentia; Caviidae. The record is from RefSeq and is a predicted model, not a curated record. The transcript has 3 exons.